RNAcentral lists this ribosomal RNA (668 nucleotides) under uncultured bacterium. RNAcentral describes it as "bacterial SSU rRNA". The stretch from base 1 to 544 matches the Rfam family "Bacterial small subunit ribosomal RNA", at positions 338 to 873 of the family's 1533-position model. The record is from RNAcentral.
CCUACGGGAGGCAGCAGUAAGGAAUAUUGGACAAUGCUCGCAAGAGUGAUCCAGCCAUGCCGCGUGCAGGAAGAAUGCCCUAUGGGUAGUAAACUGCUUUUGAACUAGAGAAAACCCCAGUACGUGUACUGGGCUGAUAGUAUAGUUAGAAUAAGCAUCGGCUAACUUCGUGCCAGCAGCCGCGGUAAGACGAAGGAUGCAAGCGUUAUCCGGGAUUCAUUGGGUUUAAAGGGAGCGUAGGUGGACUGAUAAGUCAGUGGUGAAAUCUCCGAGCUUAACUCGGAAAUUGCCAUUGAUACUGUUGGUCUUGAGUACAGUUGCUGUGGGCGGAAUAUGACAUGUAGUGGUGAAAUACAUAGAGAUGUCAUAGAACACCGAUUGCGAAGGCAGCUCACAAAGCUGUAACUGACACUGAGGCUCGAAAGUGCGGGGAUCAAACAGGAUUAGAUACCCUGGUAGUCCGCACCGUAAACGAUGAUUACCUCGCUGCGUAGGGGCGUACCGUUACGUUGGUCGUUAGUACGAAGACGAGUAAGUAAGUACCGACCCGUACGGGAGGUACGGCCCGGGCCGGAACCGGUACGGUAAACGUACGAAACGUAAGUAAGUUAGGUACGGACGGUUGGAGGACGUUACGGCCGGACGGACGACGACGAGGGGAGGUAGGG